RNAcentral lists this ribosomal RNA (253 nucleotides) under uncultured bacterium. Its description in RNAcentral is "partial 16S ribosomal RNA". It matches the Rfam family "Bacterial small subunit ribosomal RNA", at positions 524 to 776 of the family's 1533-position model. The record is from RNAcentral.
UACGUAGGUGACCAGCGUUGUCCGGAUUCACUGGGCGUAAAGAGCGCGCAGGCGGUCGUUCAAGUCGAGUGUGAAAGCCCCCGGCUCAACUGGGGAGGGUCACUCGAUACUGAUCGACUUGAAGGCAGGAGAGGGAAGCGGAAUUCCCGGUGUAGUGGUGAAAUGCGUAGAUAUCGGGAGGAACACCAGUGGCGAAGGCGGCUUCCUGGCCUGUUCUUGACGCUGAGGCGCGAAAGCUAGGGGAGCAAACGGG